RNAcentral lists this ribosomal RNA (468 nucleotides) under uncultured bacterium. Its description in RNAcentral is "partial 16S ribosomal RNA". It matches the Rfam family "Bacterial small subunit ribosomal RNA", at positions 28 to 507 of the family's 1533-position model. The record is from RNAcentral.
GACGAACGCUGGCGGCGUGCUUAACACAUGCAAGUCGAACGGAAAGGCCCUGCUUUUGUGGGGUGCUCGAGUGGCGAACGGGUGAGUAACACGUGAGUAACCUGCCCUUGACUUUGGGAUAACUUCAGGAAACUGGGGCUAAUACCGGAUAGGAGCUCCUGCUGCAUGGUGGGGGUUGGAAAGUUUCGGCGGUUGGGGAUGGACUCGCGGCUUAUCAGCUUGUUGGUGGGGUAGUGGCUUACCAAGGCUUUGACGGGUAGCCGGCCUGAGAGGGUGACCGGCGACGUUGGGACUGAGAUACGGCCCAGACUCCUACGGGAGGCAGCAGUGGGGAAUAUUGCACAAUGGGCGGAAGCCUGAUGCAGCAACGCCGCGUGCGGGAUGACGGCCUUCGGGUUGUAAACCGCUUUCGCCUGUGACGAAGCGUGAGUGACGGUAAUGGGUAAAGAAGCACCGGCUAACUACGUG